Molecule: ribosomal RNA, 1345 nt
Filed under: uncultured bacterium
Lineage: Bacteria
Description: partial 16S ribosomal RNA
Rfam family: Bacterial small subunit ribosomal RNA
Source: RNAcentral
GACGAACGCUGGCGGCGUGCUUAACACAUGCAAGUCGAACGGAAAGGCCCUGCUUUUGUGGGGUGCUCGAGUGGCGAACGGGUGAGUAACACGUGAGUAACCUGCCCUUGACUUUGGGAUAACUUCAGGAAACUAGGGCUAAUACCGGAUAGGAGCUCCUGCUGCAUGGUGGGGGUUGGAAAGUUUCGGCGGUUGGGGAUGGACUCGCGGCUUAUCAGCUUGUUGGUGGGGUAGUGGCUUACCAAGGCUUUGACGGGUAGCCGGCCUGAGAGGGUGACCGGCCACAUUGGGACUGAGAUACGGCCCAGACUCCUACGGGAGGCAGCAGUGGGGAAUAUUGCACAAUGGGCGGAAGCCUGAUGCAGCAACGCCGCGUGCGGGAUGACGGCCUUCGGGUUGUAAACCGCUUUCGCCUGUGACGAAUCGUGAGUGACGGUAAUGGGUAAAGAAGCACCGGCUAACUACGUGCCAGCAGCCGCGGUGAUACGUAGGGUGCGAGCGUUGUCCGGAUUUAUUGGGCGUAAGGGCUCGUAGGUGGUUGAUCGCGUCGGAAGUGUAAUCUUGGGGCUUAACCCUGAGCGUGCUUUCGAUACGGGUUGACUUGAGGAAGGUAGGGGAGAAUGGAAUUCCUGGUGGAGCGGUGGAAUGCGCAGAUAUCAGGAGGAACACCAGUGGCGAAGGCGGUUCUCUGGGCCUUUCCUGACGCUGAGGAGCGAAAGCGUGGGGAGCGAACAGGCUUAGAUACCCUGGUAGUCCACGCUGUAAACGGUGGGUACUAGGUGUGGGGUCCAUUCCACGGGUUCCGUGCCGUAGCUAACGCUUUAAGUACCCCGCCUGGGGAGUACGGCCGCAAGGCUAAAACUCAAAGGAAUUGACGGGGCCCCGCACAAGCGGCGGAGCAUGCGGAUUAAUUCGAUGCAACGCGUAGAACCUUACCUGGGUUUGACAUGGAUCGGGAGUGCUCAGAGAUGGGUGUGCCUCUUUUGGGGUCGGUUCACAGGUGGUGCAUGGCUGUCGUCAGCUCGUGUCGUGAGAUGUUGGGUUAAGUCCCGCAACGAGCGCAACCCUUGUUCACUGUUGCCAGCACGUUAUGGUGGGGACUCAGUGGAGACCGCCGGGGUCAACUCGGAGGAAGGUGGGGAUGACGUCAAGUCAUCAUGCCCCUUACGUCCAGGGCUUCACGCAUGCUACAAUGGCUGGUACAGAGAGUGGCGAGCCUGUGAGGGUGAGCGAAUCUCGGAAAGCCGGUCUCAGUUCGGAUUGGGGUCUGCAACUCGACCUCAUGAAGUCGGAGUCGCUAGUAAUCGCAGAUCAGCAACGCUGCGGUGAAUACGUUCCCGGGGCU